GCAAACUUGGUCAUUUAGAGGAAGUAAAAGUCGUAACAAGGUUUCCGUAGGUGAACCUGCGGAAGGAUCAUUAUUGAAUUGAAAUGGGGGCGCUCGGUUCGGCCUGCACCGGCGGAGACGCCGUGCUGCGGUCGGCCUUGCGCCCUCUUCCAAACUCAAACCCCUGUGAACCUUUGGGAGUUCCGCACCGCAUGCGGAAGCGGCCUCCCGUUUCAACCAACUCUGAUGUCUAUUUGAAUGUUUGAUUCGGGGCAGCCCCGAUGUCUAAUUGAAAACAACUUUCAACAACGGAUCUCUUGGCUCUCGCAUCGAUGAAGAACGCAGC
This 325-nucleotide unclassified non-coding RNA is filed under the name uncultured fungus. RNAcentral describes it as "partial contains small subunit ribosomal RNA, internal transcribed spacer 1, and 5.8S ribosomal RNA". The stretch from base 1 to 73 matches the Rfam family "Eukaryotic small subunit ribosomal RNA", at positions 1759 to 1831 of the family's 1831-position model. Lineage: Eukaryota; Fungi. The record is from RNAcentral.